AGUGAACGCUGGCGGUAGGCCUAACACAUGCAAGUCGAACGGCAGCACAGUAAGAGCUUGCUCUUACGGGUGGCGAGUGGCGGACGGGUGAGGAAUACAUCGGAAUCUACUUUUUCGUGGGGGAUAACGUAGGGAAACUUACGCUAAUACCGCAUACGACCUACGGGUGAAAGCAGGGGAUCUUCGGACCUUGCGCGAUUGAAUGAGCCGAUGUCGGAUUAGCUAGUUGGCGGGGUAAAGGCCCACCAAGGCGACGAUCCGUAGCUGGUCUGAGAGGAUGAUCAGCCACACUGGAACUGAGACAGGGUCCAGACUCCUACGGGAGGCAGCAGUGGGGAAUAUUGGACAAUGGGCGCAAGCCUGAUCCAGCCAUACCGCGUGGGUGAAGAAGGCCUUCGGGUUGUAAAGCCCUUUUGUUGGGAAAGAAAAGCAGCAGGUUAAUACCCCGCUGUUCUGACGGUACCCAAAGAAUAAGCACCGGCUAACUUCGUG
RNAcentral lists this ribosomal RNA (492 nucleotides) under uncultured bacterium. Its description in RNAcentral is "partial 16S ribosomal RNA". It matches the Rfam family "Bacterial small subunit ribosomal RNA", at positions 29 to 507 of the family's 1533-position model. The record is from RNAcentral.